Long non-coding RNA from Leopardus geoffroyi (Geoffroy's cat), 264 nucleotides. RefSeq lists it as uncharacterized. NCBI's taxonomy places the organism in Eukaryota, Metazoa, Chordata, Mammalia, Carnivora, Felidae. The record is from RefSeq and is a predicted model, not a curated record. The transcript has 3 exons.
ACCUGAGCCGAAGACAGACACUUAACUGAGCCACCCAGGCACCCCCAGGCUCUGCCCAUCCAUCAGUCACCCUCAAAAUGUCCCCUGUGGAUCUGUGAUUGGCUCAUUAAAAAGGAAACCCAAACAGCAUUUUUAAAAGCAAUAAAAGGGGACAGAAGAGGAGCAGCAGAGACUGGAGGAUGGCUGGCAGAGCAGACAAACCAAGCAGGAUAUGCCACUGCUCAUGACUGCCCAAGAUGAAGUUGAGGCCGACAAUCUGAAGAG